RNAcentral lists this small RNA (26 nucleotides) under Bombyx mori (domestic silkworm). Its description in RNAcentral is "ovarian small RNA-27944". Lineage: Eukaryota; Metazoa; Arthropoda; Insecta; Lepidoptera; Bombycidae. The record is from RNAcentral.
UCCUGGCGGGGGCCCUCGGCUUGGGA